Molecule: ribosomal RNA, 324 nt
Filed under: uncultured eukaryote
Lineage: Eukaryota
Description: partial 18S ribosomal RNA
Rfam family: Eukaryotic small subunit ribosomal RNA
Source: RNAcentral
CCCUUAGAUGUCCUGGGCUGCACGCGCGCUACACUGAUGUGUCCAGUAAGCACCUAACCUCUUCCGAAAGGAACGGGUAACCUUUGCAAAGCACAUCGUGAUGGGGAUAGAUUAUUGCAAUUAUUAGUCUUGAGCGAGGAAUUCCUAGUAAGCACAAGUCAUCAGCUUGUGUUGAUUACGUCCCUGCCCUUUGUACACACCGCCCGUCGCUCCUACCGAUUGAAUGUUCCGGUGAGCUCUUCGGACUGCGCGGUCUGCAGUUUCUGCGUUCCGUGCGGAAAGUUGCGCAAACCUUAACAUUUAGAGGAAGGGGAAGUCGUAACA